UACGUAGGGGGCAAGCGUUGUCCGGAUUUACUGGGUGUAAAGGGCGCGCAGGCGGAGUGACAAGUCAGAGGUGAAAUCCUACAGCUUAACUGUAGAACUGCCUUUGAUACUGUUAUUCUUGAGUUCGGAAGAGAGAGACGGAACUCCAGGUGUAGUGGUGAAAUACGUAGAUGUCUGGAAGAACACCAGUUGCGAAGGCGGUCACCUGGUCCGAUACUGACGCUGAGGUGCGAAAGCGUGGGGAGCAAACAGG
This 253-nucleotide ribosomal RNA is filed under the name uncultured bacterium. RNAcentral describes it as "partial 16S ribosomal RNA". It matches the Rfam family "Bacterial small subunit ribosomal RNA", at positions 524 to 776 of the family's 1533-position model. The record is from RNAcentral.